Molecule: unclassified non-coding RNA, 342 nt
Filed under: Hypoxylon investiens
Lineage: Eukaryota; Fungi; Ascomycota; Sordariomycetes; Xylariales; Hypoxylaceae
Description: partial internal transcribed spacer region
Rfam family: Eukaryotic small subunit ribosomal RNA (bases 1-46)
Source: RNAcentral
AAGUCGUAACAAGGUCUCCGUUGGUGAACCAGCGGAGGGAUCAUUACUGAGUUAUUAAAACUCCAAACCCUUUGUGAACCUUACUGUCGUUGCCUCGGCGUGAGCUACGGCUACCCUGUAGCUACCCUAUAGCUACCCUGCAGCUACCCUAUAGUUGACCAGUAGCUACCCUGUAGUUACCCUAUAGCUACCCUGCAGCUACCCUAUAGUUGACAUGUAGCUACCCUGUAGCCGGCUUAUGGCCCGCCGAAGGACCGCUAAACUCUUGUUUUUUUACCACUGUUUCUCUGAAUUGUAAACUUAAAUAAGUUAAAACUUUCAACAACGGAUCUCUUGGUUCUG